This 96-nucleotide small nucleolar RNA is filed under the name Echinops telfairi (small Madagascar hedgehog). RNAcentral describes it as "Small nucleolar RNA SNORA31 (ENSETEG00000025356.1)". The record is from RNAcentral. Lineage: Eukaryota; Metazoa; Chordata; Mammalia; Afrosoricida; Tenrecidae.
CUGCUUUUAAGGUUUCCUAGACAUGCAAGAGAACAUGUCCUCGUGCUUUCUGUCUGUCUGCUUGUGGCAGCCUAGCUUGAAUAGGGGAAUACAGUA